GAUUUGACCAUUAACCUCUGAGCACCAGGUUGUGUCCUUGCACAGCUCCAAGGCUAACCGCUAAAACGGCUAACAGCUGUUACCCUGCGGGGCCACAUUUUUCACGAGGGCACAACUGCACCUCUACCGAAUUUCUGCAUCAGUUCACCACUGGGUAAAAAAAAAAAAAGUUGCUGUAGUUGGCAAGUAGGCCUAAAAUAACUGACAUUGGGGAAGGCCACGAGCUGUGACACAGCUGUUUUUAGAGGACAACUCAACUUGUACGUGAAGCUGAAGCCAACUAAUUUCACUGUCGGGUAAAAACGUGAGAAAAAGAAAGCAGUGUUGCUAUUCUGAGUGAGGGAAGGGUGAACAGCAGGAGGUCUGACCUAUGAGGAGGCUGAGAGGAGGUGAGCAGGAUGGGAAGGCUGUGAGGAGCUCCAGAACGCUGAGGCUUGGAUCUCGUACGUACAGGUUGUAGUCUGCAGCGCCUUGUUUACUGCAGAGCUCCUGCAGUCUCCUCCUGUGAGCGCCGUCUGCGGUGUGUUCCACCAGCGCUCGAAGCAAAGCCUGCACAGACAUGAGAACAUCUGGUGAAACCUCUGGAAGGUGUUCUCGACUUCCAUCAGAGCAGCAGAUGAAGACAAACUUAAAAAAAAAACACAAGUUUUUCUUUUCUUUUUUAAAUAAAAGGCUUUUCACUCAACAAAA
Molecule: long non-coding RNA, 690 nt
Organism: Nothobranchius furzeri (turquoise killifish)
Lineage: Eukaryota; Metazoa; Chordata; Actinopteri; Cyprinodontiformes; Nothobranchiidae
Source: RefSeq, a predicted model, not a curated record